GCAGGGCCGCAGCGGCAGCCGGUGGCAGGUGGGGUUGUAGCUGUGCGGGCGGGGCCGCAACAAGCGGGGCUGGAGCGGUGGUAGGCAGUGCAGCAGCUGGCGGCGCAAUGGCCGGUGGCGAACAGGGCCGCAGAGGUGGCAGGUGACACCGCAACCGGUGACAGGAGAUGCCGCUGCGGUACAGGGCAGCGCAGCGAGCAGGGCCGCAGCAACGUUCGGUGGUGGGUGGGGUUGCAGCUGGUAUUUUUUAAAUGGGCAUCACUGCCGGGUUCAUGAUCCGGCGGUGAUUGGUCCCUUCACCGCCGGCUUAUAUCCAACGACCACGAAAAUUACUGGUGCGGGGUCGUGCAGUAGUGCGUCAACUUUUGAGUAAGAAUGAUUUCUGCAUGUACGAAUUGGGGUGGACAUAUGAAAAACCAUCUAGGUGGGGACCAUAAGUUUGUGUGGCCGUAUAGAAUAAAAGAUAAUUGGUCAAUUACAGGAGGGGUAUAGAUACAUGACGGAGCCAAGGAAACUUCCUCAGACUGAGCUUAAACUGAAAGGGGGAGCUGAAGAGAAUAUUUGAGGUAGGAUGUGAGAACAAAUAAUCAAGUAAACGUACGUAGGAGUAUGAGGUGUUAGAAAUCCAAAACAUGUCCAAAGUUGGUAGCUGUAAAGACGGAAGUGAACGCAAAGAGGCUAUCCACAAUGAGCAUGUGUACCAGCAGCAUCAAUCUGCCUGCAACUGUCUUGUACGUUGGAAAAAAUAAUAUGGAAUAUGCAUAGCUUGAGCACCACCUAUAUAUAAAUAUAGAUUCUGUGGGGUUUUUUUUAUCAUUCUUUAGCUACGUAGUAGAAUGUAAUCAGUUGGUCAUCCGACACCUUAAGAAAAUAUCAGCAAACAGCUGAGCACCCACUAACAUAAUAAAAGCUGGCCCUUUGAUCUGACAAAUAGAAAAAAAAAGACCUUUCAGCUUUCCACAUACCUAAAAUCCACUACAAGAAGACGGGAUAUUAACGACGGGACGGGAUAUGUGAUCGUUAAAAGUUAUUAACGAUCAUUAAUGACCACAUACAAUUUCCGGUCGUUUACUUUUCAACGACCGGCCAAGGCCAAUAUGUGGUCAUUAUUACUAGCUUAUUAACAACCACAUUUUUAAGUAAUAACGACCGCAUUUGUUUCAGUAAUAUUAUAACAAUACCUAGUAUGAGAUACUAACGACCAAAAUUUUAGUAAUAACAACCACAUUUGUUGUCGUUAAUAAUAUUUCACUACACACUAUGGAGCAUUAACAACCAG
RNAcentral lists this long non-coding RNA (1279 nucleotides) under Setaria viridis. Its description in RNAcentral is "long non-coding RNA (SVIR_LNC001485)". Lineage: Eukaryota; Viridiplantae; Streptophyta; Magnoliopsida; Poales; Poaceae. The record is from RNAcentral.